UGGGGAAUAUUGGACAAUGGGCGCAAGCCUGAUCCAGCCAUGCCGCGUGAGUGAUGAAGGCCUUAGGGUUGUAAAGCUCUUUCGCCGGUGAAGAUAAUGACGGUAACCGGAGAAGAAGCCCCGGCUAACUACGUGCCAGCAGCCGCGGUAAUACGUAGGGGGCAAGCGUUGUCCGGAUUUACUGGGUGUAAAGGGCGCGCAGGCGGGAUAAAAAGUCAGUGGUGAAAUCCUACAGCUUAACUGUAGAACUGCCUUUGAUACUUUUAUUCUUGAGUUCGGGAGAGAGAGACGGAAUUCCAGGUGUAGUGGUGAAAUACGUAGAUAUCUGGAAGAACACCAGUUGCGAAGGCGGUCUCUUGGUCCGACACUGACGCUGAGGCGCGAAAGCGUGGGGAGCAAACA
Molecule: ribosomal RNA, 402 nt
Filed under: uncultured bacterium
Lineage: Bacteria
Description: bacterial SSU rRNA
Rfam family: Bacterial small subunit ribosomal RNA
Source: RNAcentral